GAUGAACGCUAGCGGCAGGCUUAACACAUGCAAGUCGAGGGGCAGCACGGGUAGCAAUACCUGGUGGCGACCGGCGCAAGGGUGCGUAACGCGUGAGCAACAUGCCCUAUACAGGGGGAUAAUCCAGGGAAACUUGGUCUAAUAUCCCAUAGUAUUUAGAGGAGGCAUCUUCUAUAAAUUAAAGCUUCGGUGGUAUAGGAUUGGCUCGCGUGACAUUAGCUAGAUGGUGAGGUAACGGCUCACCAUGGCAAUGAUGUCUAGGGGUUCUGAGAGGAAGGCCCCCCACACUGGGACUGAGACACGGCCCAGACUCCUACGGGAGGCAGCAGUGAGGAAUAUUGGACAAUGGAUGGAAAUCUGAUCCAAGCCAUGCCGCGUGCAGGAAGACAGCCCUAUGGGUUGUAAACUGCUUUUAAUGGGAGCAAUAAGGUCUACGUGUAGACUGAUGAGAGUACCAUAUGAAUAAGC
RNAcentral lists this ribosomal RNA (468 nucleotides) under uncultured bacterium. RNAcentral's name for it is "bacterial SSU rRNA". It matches the Rfam family "Bacterial small subunit ribosomal RNA", at positions 28 to 491 of the family's 1533-position model. The record is from RNAcentral.